Molecule: ribosomal RNA, 120 nt
Filed under: uncultured bacterium
Lineage: Bacteria
Description: partial 16S ribosomal RNA
Rfam family: Bacterial small subunit ribosomal RNA
Source: RNAcentral
CACGCCCUAAACGAUGCACACUAGUUGUUGUGAGGCUAGACCUUGCAGUAAUGCAGUUAACACAUUAAGUGUGCCGCCUGGGGAGUACGGUCGCAAGAUUAAAACUCAAAGGAAUAGACG